Molecule: ribosomal RNA, 440 nt
Filed under: uncultured bacterium
Lineage: Bacteria
Description: partial 16S ribosomal RNA
Rfam family: Bacterial small subunit ribosomal RNA
Source: RNAcentral
CCUACGGGAGGCAGCAGUGGGGAAUAUUGCACAAUGGGGGAAACCCUGAUGCAGCGACGCCGCGUGAGUGAAGAAGUAUUUCGGUAUGUAAAGCUCUGUCAGCAGGGAAGAAAAUGACGGUACGUGACCAAGAAGCCCCGGCUAAAUACGUGCCAGCAGCCGCGGUACUACGUAGGGGGCAAGCGUUAUCCGGAUUUACUGGGUGGAAAGGGAGCGUAGACGGCAGGGCAAGUCUGGAGGGAAAGGCGGGGGCUCAACCCCCGGACUGCUCUGGAAACUGCCAGGCUGGAGUGCAGGAGAGGUGAGUGGAAUUCCUAGUGUAGCGGUGAAAUGCGUAGAUAUUAGGAGGAACACCAGUGGCGAAGGCGGCUUACUGGACUGUAACUGACGUUGAGGCUCGAAAGCGUGGGGAGCAAACAGGAUUAGAUACCCGAGUAGUC